ACACUUUUGCUAAAUCUACUAGGUGAAGAUUUAGUAAAAUACAGAGGAGGGGAAAUUCUUAUGUAAAUAUUUGGGUGGCUGUCUGGGAGAAUGAAAAAAAAUUCUUAAAAAACGAAUACUCCCUGUGUUAGCUUGGAGGUUUUGACUGAAUGCCCCAUGGACUGUUGUUGCUCUACAAAGCGCAGGUGCAUAGUCAGUCAACAACGUGGACUCCUCAGCCAUCAGGGAAGACAGCUGUGUGCUAGUCAGACUCACAUCUGGAAGGUGGUACCAACCAUGACCGUGCUGGUGGGAGCUGUCCCCAGCACUUUUAACAGGCUUUAUUUCUGUUUGAGCCUCUGGGUACAUGAGGAUGUGGGAGGAGUCGAAGGAGGGAGUGCCAGGCUUUCCAAGGAUCUUUGUGUGUGGCAUUAGGUAUGCACACCUGGCUGAAUGCAUCUUUGGCCACAAUGACCCCAUCGUGCUCAUGGAGACCUUGCAUGGAUUGCUUUGAAGGCCUGCUUCCCCCAGCCUCUCCCCUUCUCAUCCAUUCCCAUGCAAAUCUCCUGUUUCAGACACUUCUAGGAUUUCCCAUAGCUUUCAAGAUAAAAUCCACAUUUCUUAGCAGGUUUGUGAAGGUUGUUGGUUUUCCAGCUCAAGAUCCCUCCUUUAGGUCCACCCUCCCCAACUUAAGACCACGGAAUUGAGUUGAUCCUAUUUCUUCAUUCAGGUCACACUAUCAUCCUCCUUUUAUGCAUGUGCCCUUUUCUAUCUUCAUUUUACUUCAUGUUCUCCUCCCUCCCCAUUCCCACUCCCAUUUCCCUCCUUGCUCUUAUGAUAGGCCCCUAUUCCAAUGUAUUAAUUUACAACCUUCCAAACCAUCUUAUAUAUUCAAGGCUGCCAUGUUGCAUACCCUCAAGGGGCACCAUUCAUGUUGUAUUCUGGCAUCUUUCCCCAGAGGGCACCAUUUGCAUGGAAAACUGUGUGAAUGGUAACCCUGAGGCUGAGCAAUGUGCCAGCACAGUUCAUAUGGUUGUGUAUGUAUAUGUAUCCUUGACAGUAGACUGAAACUGUCUGUAUGCUUGUGUUUAAUAUAUAUGACUUUAUUGAGCUAUAAAAUUUAUUAUGUUUCUUUCUUUUUCACAUGACAUUAUGUUUGUGCAAGCAUUCUGCAUUGGUAUAUGCAAAUUUAGACCAUUAUUUUUUUACCUGCAUGGUAUUCUGUCUCUUUCUGUAUUUCCUUAGUGAGUGAUAUCUAGGUCGUCACCAAUUCCUUGCUAUCUCAAACAAGGUGUCGAUUAACACAGAUAGAAAUC
This 1295-nucleotide long non-coding RNA is filed under the name Homo sapiens (human). Its description in RNAcentral is "HSALNT0172279". Lineage: Eukaryota; Metazoa; Chordata; Mammalia; Primates; Hominidae. The record is from RNAcentral.